Molecule: ribosomal RNA, 253 nt
Filed under: uncultured prokaryote
Description: partial 16S ribosomal RNA
Rfam family: Bacterial small subunit ribosomal RNA
Source: RNAcentral
UACAGAGGGGGCAAGCGUUGUUCGGAAUUACUGGGCGUAAAGGGCGCGUAGGCGGCCUGUUAAGUCGAACGUGAAAUCCCCGGGCUCAACCCGGGAACUGCGUCCGAUACUGGAUGGCUUGAAUUCGGGAGAGGGAUGCAGAAUUCCAGGUGUAGCGGUGAAAUGCGUAGAUAUCUGGAGGAAUACCGGUGGCGAAGGCGGCAUCCUGGACCGACAUUGACGCUGAUGAGCGAAAGCUAGGGGAGCAAACGGG